GUUUCCCACUAUUGAAUUCCAGACUUCUGUGUCACUGUCCCACUGGAACACUUGCUCUGUUGAAGACUGUCCUUGUUUGCUGCUCUAUCCUCAGUGCCUAGAACAGUGCCUGGACAGAGGAGUGUUCAGUCAAUCUUAUAGAACAAAUAUAUGAAUAAUUUGGGGCUUCUGUGGUGGCUCAGACAGUAGAGAAUCUGCCUGCAAUGCAGGAGAUCCAGGUUUGGUCGGGAAUAUCCCCUGGAGGAGGUCAUGGCAACCCACUCCAGUAUUCUUGUUGGGAAAAUUCCACAGACAGAGGAACCUGGUAGGCUACAGUCCAUGGGGUCACAAAGAGUGAGACAAGACAGCGACUUUCACUUACUCGCAGUUUCACUCACAGGCAGUUGAGCAGGUGACUAUUAAUCAGCUUUCUUGUUUAAGGUACUGUGCAGCUGGCUAAACCACAGUUUCCAGGUGGGAAUGAAAUCUGUAGGACAAGGAAGGACACAGUCAAAGAAUUUUGGUGCAUUCAAUGUGAUGCCAUUUUUUCCCAUUUCUUAGCCAAAUUACCUAAAAUUAUUAUUUUCCUUAGAAAUUUUUUAUUUGCUGCCUAAUUUGUCAUUUGCUACUAGGCAUAUUACGUCAAACUCUUGAUUGACCCAAUAUGAAGAUAUAAGAAAUUUAAAAACACACACAAUUGGUCUUAAGGGAAAGUGAAAGCAUAUGGAUGGAUGGUAUCCAUGUCUGAGCAAUUUCAUUGACCAUCCAUCAUGCUCCUCUUUUGAUUUUAUACUACACUGCAUUCCAGUGUGUGUUGAUUCAACCUGUAGGUUUCCUACCAUACUUUCUUUCAAUCCUUCUGUCUUUGUCUCUUGCAUCUCUCCCCUGUUCUCUGUCCCUGCUGGCUCUUCCACUCAUAAAGGCUUCCAUAUCCAAGCUGACCGGCCAGUCCCCUCUCUACCCUUACUAGAUGCCUUAAUCUUCACCAGCUUCCUUUGACCUGGCAUUUCUCCAAGAAGUUGGCAUCUUCUCUGAAAGCUCACUGAUAUUUAAACUCUGUAUAAAGAGCUCUCAAAGCUAUAUUAGCUUCCUGUGCUUUGGUUGGUCACUCAGUCGUGUCCUACUCUUUGCGACCCCAUGGCUGCAGCACACCAGGUUUACCUGUCCAUCACCAACUCCCAGAGCUUGCUCAAACUCAUGUCCAUCAAGUCAAUGAUGCCAUCCAAACAUCUCAUUCUCUGUCAUCCCCUUCUCCUCCUGCCUUCAAUCUUUCUCAGCAUCAGGGUCUUUUCUAAGCAGUCAGUUCUUCCAUCAGGUGGCCAAAGGAUUGGAGUUUCAGCAUCAUCCCUUGGACUGCAAGGAGAUCCAACCAGUCCAUCCUAAAGGAGAUCAGUCCUGGGUGUUCAUUGGAAGGACUGAUGCUGAGGCUGAAACUCCAAUACUUUGGCCACCUGAUGCGAAGAACUGACUCCUUAGAAAAGACCCUGAUGCUGGGAAAGAUGGAAGGCAGGGGAAGAAGGGGAAGACAGAGGAUAAGAUGGUUAGAUGACAUCACCGACUCGAUGGACAUGAGUUUGAAUAAGCCCUGGGAGUUGGUGAUGGACAGGGAAGCCUGGUGUGCUGCAGUCCAUGGGGUCGCAGAGAGUCAGACAUGACCGAGUGACUGAACUGAAAUGAACGCAGAACAGCCCCUGCAACAAAGAAUUAUCUGGCCCCGAAUUUUAAUAGUACCAAGACAGAGAAUCCCCACCCUAAAAAUACCCCAAGAUCUGAGUAAAAAACAGUUAUAAUUGUUAAAGUAACUCUAAAAAGGAAAUGAUAAAUUAUACAAAAGAGGAUAUUCUAAAAAAAUUUUAGAAUUAAAAAAAGAUUAAAAUUAGAGUUUUUUAAAUAUUGAAAGACGUAGAGACAAUUAGGGGAAAAGGACAAUGUCCAAAGACUAAUUGAACAGGCCAUGCAUAAUACAAGAGCAUAUGCUUAAAAUAAAAUGCUAAUUUAAAAUAGAUUAAAGAAAUGCGUGUGCAUGAGGUAACUCAGAAGAAACUGGUGAGAGUUACUUCCUUUCAACUUAUUUUCAUCUUUUCCAAUGCUCAGUGAACAGACUUCCCACUGAUUUCAAAGAAUAUUUUGGUUUUGAGAUUAGCUUUAUGGAAGCUAAAAAUUGGUCUUUAAAAACCAUUAACUCCUGGUCCUGUAGAUUUUGAAAUUCUUUAAAUAAAAGAACAUGCUACUAAACAGCACGUGCAGUGCAGUGCUCAUUCACUAAGUCAUGUCUGACUCUUUGUGACCCCCAUGGAUUUUAGCCUGCCAGGCUCCUCAGCCCACAGGGUUUUCCAGGCAAGAAAACUGGAGCGGCCUGCCAUUUUCUCCUCCAGGGGAUCUUCCCGACCCAGUGAUCAAACCCCCAUCUCCUACACUGGCAGGUGGAUUCUUUACCGCUGAGCCGCCUGGUAGACAACAGUGAUAGUUAGGGGAAUGAUGGGGCUUCUGUGGGUACUCAAAUGGUAAAGAAUCUGCCUGCAAUGCAGGAGACCCAAGUUCCAUCCCUGGUCAAGGAAAUGGCUACCCACUCCAGUAUUAUUGCCUCGGAAAUCCCACGGUCAGAGGAGCCUAGGCAGGCUACAGUCCAUGGUGUUGCAAAAGAGUCGGACACAGCUUAACAACUAAACUACAAGAACAACAAAUAAGUAAAGAUUAAUAGAAACUUUAGCUCAAAAAAACAACCUUUCAUUUGUUAAAAGUUAUUGAUAGGGAGACUUCCCUGGUGGCCUCGUGGGUAAGACUCCACUCUCACCAUGCAGGGGGUCACAAAGAGUUGGACAUGGCAGAGCAACUUUUACUUCACUUCAUGGGAAUGAUACCUAUUCCCAUAUUUUUAGGAGAGGUGUUUGUGAUGAUUAAAAAAAAAAAAAUCUGACUAGUAUAGGAAAGUGUUAUCCUAAUACAAUUAGUUUAAAACCAGAAACAAAAGGAAAAAAAAAAAAAAAAACCUCAGUCAUUAAAAAGGUCAUAUUAGUAAUUCUUAGACAAAAAGAAAAUAUUUAAUAUGAUAUAAGUUGCUUUUUUCAAAUCCUAUCAUUUGUGUGUGAAGAGGAUCAAAAUAUGCCACCCCAAAAUAUGUUUCUUUGGCAUACGGAUGAUCUUGAGCUGGUUAUUUUUAAGAAACAGCAGACGCAGGAAAAACUCUGAAAACCAAGUUGUUCUUUGUAAGGUACAUUUACAUUUAUAAGGGAAAUCAUAUUUAAACAUGUUUCCCUCUCUGUGGGCUUCCCUGGUGGCUCCUCUUCCCUGGUGGCUUCCCUGGUAAGAAUCUGCCUACAAUGCAGGAGACCCAGGUUUGAUCCCUAGGUUGGGAAGAUGCCCUGAAGAAGGGAAUGGCAACCCUCUCCAGUAUUCUUGCCUGGAGAAUUCCAUGGACAGAGGAGCCUGACGGGCUACAAUUCAUGGGGUUGUGAAGAAUCAGCCACGACUGAGCAACUAACACUUUCACUUUUCCUUCUCUGUAGUAGGAAGAGAAGAAGGAUUCUAAAUCUCUAGAAACUCUUGUCAAUGAAGAAGGUGAUGAUCGGAAUCUGUAAAACAAAUUUACCCUGUUCACUAUGCUUUCCCCAUAACUGUACUCUCCCCUACCCACACACAUCUCUCUUUUGUCUUUAGUUGAAGAUGGUACUUAAGGUGGUGGAUUGGGCCAUUUCAAGAAGUUACUCAGUUUUCUUGGAUAUCUUAAAUGUACACGAGAGGUAUUUUGUUGUUAUUUGUUAGUCGCUCUGUCGUGUCCAACUCUUUGUGACCCUAUGGACUGUAGCCCACCAGGCUCCUCUGUCCAUGGGAUUUUCCAGGCAAGAGUACUGGAAUGGGUUGUCAUUUACUCCUCCAGGGGAUCUUCCCAACUCAGGGAUCAAAUCUGACUGUCUUAAGUCUCUUGCAUUGGCAGGCAGAUUCUUGACCACUAGAAUGACAUGGGAAGCCCUCUAGUCCUUCCAAAUAUUAUGGCUCAGCUAAGGGUCUACUCUACAGAGAGUAUUUUGAUCCUUUAUAUCAUAUCCUUCUAAAAUAUACUUUUUAUUGGAGAGGUGAUAUCAUAUAUUUCAUGGAUGUCUCAUUUACUUGUUUUCUCCUAGGGUAUUCUUUUCUCUUUUUUCUGUGUUUGUUUGUUUGUUUUGGGUUUUGUCUUUUGUUUUUUAUGGGAGAAGGGGAGGCAAGGGUUAUUAUCAAUAAUGUUUGUAUUGGCAUCAAUGAAGAAAAAUUUUUUUUGUAUUUUCUGAUUAUAUCCUGAAGAAAAAUCACUAAAGUAGAAUCCAUGAACCAAGCAGUAUAAAAUUGAGGCCAUAAUGGUAUUACCAAUGGAAAUAGUUCAAAUGUAAAACCAAGCUACAAUUACUCUUUAGAAAUGCCAAAAUAACUGAGUCCUCAUUUUCAGAUGGUUACCUUGUUAAUUCCAUAGUAGCAUUUAUGAUGUCAUUAUUGCUAUCCUGGAGGAUAGCAGACUGCCUUGGCUCUUAAAGCAUUUUCUUGUGACAUGACCAGGUCCAUUAUGUCCUUUAUGUUCACAUCUGUUUCAUUAACUUCCUCCUCUUCUCUCUCCUCGUGUGCAAGAAGAGACCGUAUUUUUCUUGAAUGUCCCAGAUGGUUCUGCUGUGAACUUUGAGAUUCUCAACAGUUGCUGGCUGUGCUUGUUGAGAUAGGUCCUUGACCUUGGCUUCCUCCCAAGCUUUGUAGGUAUCGAAAGUUGGAUCCAUGUGGGCAGCUUGGUUCAUCAACAGUGAAAAUUAAAGAACCAGAGAGAGAGAAUCUAGC
Long non-coding RNA from Bos taurus (domestic cattle), 4776 nucleotides. NCBI's taxonomy places the organism in Eukaryota, Metazoa, Chordata, Mammalia, Artiodactyla, Bovidae. The record is from Ensembl.